This 659-nucleotide long non-coding RNA is filed under the name Homo sapiens (human). RNAcentral's name for it is "long independently transcribed non-coding RNA 844 (LINC00844)". Lineage: Eukaryota; Metazoa; Chordata; Mammalia; Primates; Hominidae. The record is from RNAcentral.
GUGAGCCAUGCCAAUGUGGUUUGGCUGGACUGUGAGUGCUUGAUGCAGUCUGAUAGGAGGAUGGGGGUGGCGCAGAGAACAUUGAAAUCAGAAAGGAUUCUGCUCUGUAGAGACAAAGGAAACACAGAGACAUAGACAUGGAUCUGGGAAAUACACCUUUUGCUACUCGUUCAGUUUUAGCAAGGAGGUUUCUUGCAUGGCUAAGCAAAACUUAAACUUCCUCUGAGAAUUACAGGAAUUACAGGACCUGACAAAGCUAUGAAGAUUAAAACCUAUAGGAAGAAAAUCUGAACCAGAAACAGUAUGGCAGAAUUGGGAUCUGACUCACAGAGGGAAGAACUUAUAAUUCUUCACAGGUCACAUAGAAGCAUGAGAAUUUGGGUUCAAGCAAGUAAAUUCUAAAUCAGAAUCCAUACAUAAAGUGUUUGCAAUGUCCAGUUAUAUCUCCAUGAUAUUUUCUUUGUGGAAGUUGAUUGUUCUUCCUUACAAUAAAUUGCUUGAAUUGUCUGUCUAUUCAUUUAGCUAUUUCUUUUCUUGUCUUUGCGAUAUUUUUUUUUGUAAGUAAAAAAUUUUCAGACUAAAUAACAGGGUGUAAUUUUUUGCUUUGUUUCUCCUAAGUUUUGUCUUGUUUAUGACAUUAAUAAUUUUCUAAAAUCUCU